GGUUUGGGAAGUAAAAAAUCGUAACAAGGUCUCCGUUGGUGAACCAGCGGAGGGAUCAUUACAGAGUUAUCCAACUCCCAAACCCAUGUGAACUUAUCUCUUUGUUGCCUCGGCGCAAGCUACCCGGGACCUCGCGCCCCGGGGGGCCCGCCGGCGGACAAACCAAACUCUGUUAUCUUCGUUGAUUAUCUGAGUGUCUUAUUUAAUAAGUCAAAACUUUCAACAACGGAUCUCUUGGUUCUGGCAUCGAUGAAGAACGCAGCGAAAUGCGAUAAGUAAUGUGAAUUGCAGAAUUCAGUGAAUCAUCGAAUCUUUGAACGCACAUUGCGCCCAUUAGUAUUCUAGUGGGCAUGCCUGUUCGAGCGUCAUUUCAACCCCUAAGCACAGCUUAUUGUUGGGACUCUACGGCUUCGUAGUUCCCCAAAGACAUUGGCGGAGUGGCAGCAGUCCUCUGAGCGUAGUAAUUCUUUAUCUCGCUUUUGUUAGGCGCUGCCCCCCCGGCCGUAAAACCCCCAAUUUUUUCUGGUUGACCUCGGAUCAGGUAGGAAUACCCGCUGAACUUAAGCAUAUCAAUAAGCGGAGGAA
This 585-nucleotide ribosomal RNA is filed under the name Nigrospora sphaerica. RNAcentral describes it as "eukaryotic LSU rRNA". The stretch from base 215 to 368 matches the Rfam family "5.8S ribosomal RNA". Lineage: Eukaryota; Fungi; Ascomycota; Sordariomycetes; Amphisphaeriales; Apiosporaceae. The record is from RNAcentral.